UACGGAGGGUGCAAGCGUUAAUCGGAAUACUGGGCGUAAAGCGUGCGCAGGCGGUUUGUUAAGUCCGCUGUGAAAUCCCCGAGCUCAACUUGGGAAUUGCAGUGGAUACUGGCAAGCUGGAGUAUGGUAGAGGAAGGUGGAAUUCCCGGUGUAGCAGUGAAAUGCGUAGAGAUCGGGAGGAACACCAGUGGCGAAGGCGGCCUCUCGGACCAAUACGUGACGCUCAUGCACGAAAGCGUGGGGAGCAAACAGG
RNAcentral lists this ribosomal RNA (253 nucleotides) under uncultured bacterium. RNAcentral's name for it is "partial 16S ribosomal RNA". It matches the Rfam family "Bacterial small subunit ribosomal RNA", at positions 524 to 776 of the family's 1533-position model. The record is from RNAcentral.